CGCGGGAUGGAGCAGUCUGGUAGCUCGUCGGGCCCAUAACCCGAAGGUCGUUGGUUCAAAUCCAGCUCCCGCAA
Molecule: transfer RNA, 74 nt
Filed under: Leuconostoc fallax
Lineage: Bacteria; Bacillati; Bacillota; Bacilli; Lactobacillales; Lactobacillaceae
Also listed under: 3 other names
Rfam family: tRNA
About the family: Transfer RNA (tRNA) molecules are approximately 80 nucleotides in length. Their secondary structure includes four short double-helical elements and three loops (D, anti-codon, and T loops). Further hydrogen bonds mediate the characteristic L-shaped molecular structure. tRNAs have two regions of fundamental functional importance: the anti-codon, which is responsible for specific mRNA codon recognition, and the 3' end, to which the tRNAs corresponding amino acid is attached (by aminoacyl-tRNA synthetases). tRNAs cope with the degeneracy of the genetic code in two manners: having more than one tRNA (with a specific anti-codon) for a particular amino acid; and 'wobble' base-pairing, i.e. permitting non-standard base-pairing at the 3rd anti-codon position.
Source: Rfam by way of RNAcentral